GGAAUAUAAGAUUCAUGUCUACUUUUGAGAUAAAAUGCUUCCAAGAAGCCCUCGGCUUUGGGCAUGCUUCUUGAGGGCCAGCCUCCAAACCCGAGGGGAUACUUUCACUUUGGAGGAAACACUGGAGCUGCCCUGUCCCCCUCCCCUCUUCACACGGAGCCUUUUUUGGUUGUUUUUGUUUUUUUGAGACAAGGUCUCCCUCUGUCACCCAGGCUGGAGUGCAGUGGUGUGAUCACAGCUCACUGCAGCCUCGAACUCCUGGGCUCAAGCGAUCCUUCUGCCUCGAGAGUGACUGUCCUGUUCCCCACUGAGAUGUCCAGCUGGCUCUCAGAAGCAGGACACUAGGACAGGCUCAAGAGUCCAGGUCGACGCGGUGCUGUGGCCAGACUGAAGCAGCUUUGCCACGUCCCCCUGGUCUCAUCCACCAUCAGGCCCCUGCUGGCCGUGUGUGCCUGUUCCCCCUCAGGAUGACAACUUGGCCUCACCUUUCUCUGUAUGCAGCACCUUGAGGCUCUUUGAAAAUCCUCAGGGACUCCCAAAGCCUGUGUGGGUCAGGAGAGCCGGGCCAAGGAAGGUCCAUGCUGCACAGGGCAGGCAAGGACUCAGCACUGCUGGGUGUUUAGACUGUUUCCUGGCUCAGACCAAGAAAACUCUAAACUCUGUAGACACAGCUCCCAACUCCCACCCACUCCCCACUCCAGCUCUGACCCAGGCUUUUCCAUUCACAGAUCCCAGACUUUCCAGACCGGCAAAGAGCCCGGAGGCCAAAGCCUGGUAGAGAUGAAAGAGAGUGAGCCAAGCAGAAGGACCAGCAUUUGCAAAAGUCAUGGAAACAGGGAAGUGCCUGAUGUGUGAGGAAGAUGGCAAAAUGUUAAAUGUCCCAGGCGGGGAGGCCAGGCUGGCUGAGGAAGUGACUGGCACCAGAUAAGACUGUGAAUGCCAGGGAGAGUGGGGAACCCCUGCCACGUGGAGGUCACCCAACCCUGGCCCUGGAGCUGUCCCCCUGAGCUGUCCACCCCCAACCUGAAAACUCUGUGCAGCCCUUCCCCUCCUACCUUCCUCCUGCCCUUAGAAACCCUGAUUUCACUGUGGUCAAAUUCCCCUCCAUUCUUGGCUUAGGGAAAACAAUUAUGAGGCAGGAAUUCUUGUAAGAGCUUUUUCUAUAUUAAAAUGCUUGAUCCUCUGUUAAA
Molecule: non-coding RNA, 1190 nt
Organism: Macaca mulatta (Rhesus monkey)
Lineage: Eukaryota; Metazoa; Chordata; Mammalia; Primates; Cercopithecidae
Source: RefSeq, a predicted model, not a curated record